AACAAUUGGCACCGCCUUCUUCCCCAGACCCCGGACAUCCGGUGUACCAACUUGCCUAAACUCAGCUGGUGAUCUGAUAUCAAGCAACUGAGCAUUGGCAUCAUCGCCCAAUUUUGCGUAAGCAUUUCUUGCAGUAUCAACACCCCAUGGCUUGGGAGGCUUCAGAACCUGAGACAAAACCAGGGGAACAGCCAAAAUGGCAAAACCACCAGCUAUAACUGCAGGGUUCUCAGUCACAAAAGCAGUAACAUUAUCAAGAAUCCCACUUGCUUCCAAGUCUCCACCUGUACUGGUACUCACAGAUUGCCCCAAUGCUUCUUCAUAUGUCAAAGCUUUGGCAAACCCAGUAUUGAAAACAGAAGAUAAAAGCAACAGGCCACCAUGAAAGCUCCUAGAUGAAGACUCCUGUGAAGCUUGUGGGGUGGUGCUAAGACUUGUGGAAUUUGAGAAUUUGGGUAGGGAAA
RNAcentral lists this long non-coding RNA (464 nucleotides) under Prunus persica (peach). RNAcentral's name for it is "long non-coding RNA (PPER_LNC002756)". The record is from RNAcentral. Lineage: Eukaryota; Viridiplantae; Streptophyta; Magnoliopsida; Rosales; Rosaceae.